UUCAAUCACGUUUAUGUACGUGGUCCAUCCAUCCACAAUAGAGGAGAAGCCAAAAAAAAAAAAAAGGUCCUACUCAAUGGUACCUAUCAUGGACGUCAAAAUUUUCAAACGAAAAUGAAACCUUAGGUGACUCUUCUUUCCAUCAAAGGAUGUAUUGGUUCACAAGAUACGUACCCAACUUUCCUUGUCUUGAACAAGACCACGACUGAGAAUUUGAAUAGAGCCAUCAGCCAUGGCUAGAUAUGGUCGGUCCAACCUCCAAGACUGGUCCAGUGGUUGUGCCUCAUGUAGAUGUGAAGAAAAAGCAAUGGCAGCAGAAACUUCCUGAUCUGCACGUACAACCGGUGGCACCCAGAGCCGGAGGUACCUCCCGCGCAGCAUGCUGAGGUUAAAACUAGGAGAGGUUCCCAGAGUGAGAUGGUAAACUUUAGUGGAGAUGCUAUAACCCAGGACUACUCUGCAAAGGAUCAUAUCAAGCAUGCCCACCCAUCUAUAUUAGCCCUCCCAAACUUUCCAAGCGUCAGCGGUAUUUGUGCUUUUGUUGAAAGCCGGGAAAGACGUCAGGGACGGACCAUUUCGAAAAAUCGUCACCAUGGCUCCUCCCAACUACAUGAUACAUCGACUAGUGGUGAUGGGUCCCCUGCAUGGAAGUCAACGGUGAUUUGUCCAAAUAAGGCUACUUAACUACCCCUAAAAAGUACACAGCAAAAAUCCCAUGCCAUGAUCUUCUCUUCCACUAAACUCAACAUGGCUCCUCCAACUCUAAAAGACUAUUGUUUUUGCCCAUAGACUUGACAAAUAAGCCAUUGGAGCAAAACUUUCCUGUCCAAAACCAUUGGCAUUCUCAUACUCCAAGUUUCAGAGGUAAAAGCUGGGGUGUCAUUAAAGAUGAUGAUUCUGCACUUGAUUUGAAAUUCAUAGACCUCUCAGCAGUAACUGUAAGGAUGAACUUUAACCUAUAUACUUGAGAAAAAAGAACCCUAGACGGGAAUAUGUUGCCAUCGACCCCACAAGAAGAAACUACUAAUUGAGAUUAUCUUAUAUCCUAUGAGCAAGAUAAUUUUGAGUAGGGCAAUGAUCACUGGUCAGGAAAGUGGUCCAGGUCCAUUACCUCAGCGGACCGAUCAGAGUUGUGGAUGAGGAUGGGUUACUGGCCAAGCAAGGCAAUCUUCUGGUAGUCGAAAUAUAGAUCUUGGGUCUUCUACCUGGAGAUAAAUGGGGUUAAUAUAGCAGCAUUUUGACACAAAAUGGAGGUCGUUUCCUGACUUGACCAUUUUCCCUGCGCAACCAGAGCUAUUUGGUAUUUCAAUCGAAUAUAUAUGCCUGCUCACGUCACAUACCAGGUAAAGUUUCUACUUUAUAUCUUCCCUUAACUGCUUGUAAAAGCUUCAAAUAGUACUGCACUAGACGCACUAACACCUAUGCAGAGAAAAGGAAUAGAAUGCAUUUCAUAUUUUAAACUAUGCAUAUAAGUAAGAUUUGCAGGCACAACUUACCCUGAGUAAUUAGAGCUGCUCACACAUGGAACAAAAGGGAAAGAUCGCCUGAAGAAAACUGGCUCCAAACUCUCAAAUAAUGUGAGGUUCGGCACUCACGGCCAUUAAUUAGCAAACCUACCAACAACUGAAAGCCACCACCUUGGAAAUGUAUAAUACAUCGAAUACACAAGUACCAAAGCAAUGAUAUUACUUUCAAUAAUUCUAGUAGCAUAUGUUAGCCACCAGAGUUGGAACCGAACCAUCUUCCAUUCAGCAAGAAGUAGUUAUUCAUUGUCAUGGUCAUAUGCAGAUUUAAGAAGGCAUUCCAGAAUGGGAAAAGAUUGUUGGGGAGGCUGCAGAACAAUUCCAGGAAGAGAGAAUGGUGGAAUUGUGACAUCAAAGAGGUUCAAGAUAUACCUCCCAGCAUUUGUAGACAGCAAAUCUCAGUACUGAUGACAGAGAAAUGUGACAUUGAACUCUCAUUCUGUGGACUCAAGCACAUUUCUUAUCUCUCAACAUUGAUAAUAUUGACGAAAAAAGUAGACUUCUUGUGAUACCGAAGAUAGUUUCAUGAGUUUGAAGAUAUUCUAAUUGAGUGUAUUAUUAGAAAAAAUAAUUUAUGAUUCUUAAACAUCUUAAGAGCUGAACUAUCUAAACGUCCUAAAAAAUGCCACUUUAAACCAAAAUAAUAUCACUUUUGAUGUCAUCCACGAUGUUUGCCUAUCUUGCUAACCUACAAAAUCAUCAACUACGUACCAUGCACAGAACAGAAAUCUCACAACAUUUUUUUACACUUGCAUGCUUUCACCUAUUAUAAACAACCCUCAUUCUCCGUUUAUUUAAAUAUGCAACAUGUUGAAUAAAAGAAUGAAACAACUACUUCCAUCACUCAAUGUAUUGAUUACAGCUUAUUGCCUAACCAGGGCAUGAUGCUUGUUAUCUUGUUAUUUCAGGUGUGAACUAAUGAGAGGUGGAAUGAAAGAGUGCCUUAUGCCAAUGGGUCUCACUCCUCUCCAUAUGAACCUAUCAAAGUAGGGGAGGGCAACACUACCUUGAAGCAAGUGUUGCUUACCAGUGAGUAGUAUUCGAUGCAGUUGACCACCCCUCCAAAUUUGGGCACUCCAAAGAACAGAUAUGAUAGUGACCAUCCGGUUCAUGAUGCCCAUGCGGAGAAAAAUUUCUGGAAUAGUUGAUUACUUGAUUCUCCUAAUGCUUACGCUUAUCCCGACAGCUAUCUGACCAGCAUGUAUAGAGCAAGCUCGCAGUUCAACUUCCUCCUCACUACCUGGACCUAUUUCACUAUUGGCUUCAAUCAUGCUGGCAAGGGUCGAACUAUAUUUUAG
This is a long non-coding RNA of Juglans regia (Persian walnut), 2821 nucleotides long. RefSeq lists it as uncharacterized. The transcript has 4 exons. NCBI's taxonomy places the organism in Eukaryota, Viridiplantae, Streptophyta, Magnoliopsida, Fagales, Juglandaceae. The record is from RefSeq and is a predicted model, not a curated record.